ACAAGGAAGCUUCUAUAUGUGCUCUGCAAAUAAAAUUUUGCCAUGUGUAAAUCUACUAACGCACUUUGGUAUGGUACUGAGGAAUACAACCACAAUAUAUAUACCUAUUAUUAUUAGUUGCACCUCAUAAAUAUAUCGCCAACCUUAAGCUCACACUUUAAUAGCGCUAUUGCUCUUGCAUGAUCUCUUUUAAUAUUUUUCUUUACCUUCUCAUUAUUCUAUUGCUAGGAAGCACUCAAUCUAGGUCCGUGUAUUUUUUUUAAUAUAAUCAGCAGCUCUCCAGCCAGGUUCGUUUAAAAAAAAAAUCUAGGUCCGUGUGACAAUGUAUGACACGACGCCACAUCGUCUCUAAGAAAUGAGCGGCAUAAGGAAUCCAUGAUCAAUAGAUAGGUUGGUGCCAACACUUGGCCAUCAAAUUUGGUUCUCGGACACAUGGCUUUCCGGUUUCAAGCACGACAUGUUGCAUAGCUUCACUGUUACGCCCUUGAAUUUAGGGAAAGAAAAUGAGAGAAAAUUUUUGUUGAACCAGGGAGGUCAUGGUCAAAUCUUAGGAACCAGUUGGUGACAGUCACCGCUAUUUCUUCCAGUUCUGCCAGAAAAGAAAUGAUCGCCAAACACUACUGCGUAAUCAUGGUGAAGCCAUUACCGUAUUUUAGAUCCAAGAAAACAGACAACUAUACAGGAAGGUGCCUUUGCAUUAGUUGGCCUCAGCUCGGUAGGGAGUUAGUGAAACUACCAGCCUACGCUGCAAGGUGAUGCACACGUUCACGGUUCAUAAUUGAAUUUGGCACCUGCUCACUGAGGCCAUGAAAAACGCUAUGAAUAAUUAAUUUUGCAAUGUGUGCAAUAAAUGCUGACUUGUAGUCAUAGUAUAGUAGAGCCAUGCUGAUUUAAUAUCACAAAUCGAUAAAAUUAACCUUGUGUUUCCUCCCGGUACAAUCUUCAACUCACUUCCUGCUCUGCAGUUCUUGCAAUCUCUUGUGUGCUCCUCCUCUACCUCAUCAGUUCUUUUACCUUUUUGGUGAGGAAGUUCUUUUACCUAUUGUUAACCGCCAAGCACUCAAGCAAUCUAUGCUGUGUCGCUUCGGAAUGAGUGGCAUUGGGAGAACAUAUUCAACAGGGGUGCAGACUCUGACGGUUCUUCACGAUGGCCGCUGCUCUUCUUGCAUACAGGAAAGCACAUGUGGGAGUACAGCGUCGCCUCUACCACUACAAGAUUUGCGGUAGUUACCGACAGAUGGCAGCAGGAUUUUCCUUGCUUGUUCAUUUGUGCACUGGUCAGUUUUCCCUGAUAGGUGAUAGUUGCUAUGGAAUUCAUUUCCACUCACAGCAAAUAGUCUAAUUGCACUUAAACACCAUCGCCCAUUAAGAGGAGGAAAAUACUAAAGAGUCAAUCCCCCUCGGCCACUCUAAAAUACCCCUUGGCAAUUGUUUUGAACCUUGUAGUGUAUAGAGCUUGAAUUUUGCGCAAAAACAUGAGAGAACGUGGUCCAAUUGGAGGGACGCCUUACUAUAAUCCUAUGACCGGCGUUUGGCACACCGGUUCUCCCAGUUCUACCAGCAGGCAGCCAAGGAAAAUCAUUGUAUCGUUAUAUAAGGAAGUUAUAUAAGGAAGCGUACGACAUCAAAUCAUCAUGAAUCGCAUGUGUCGUAACUAAAAUUCUUUUGCGUUUUCUCAUCUAUGGCAGUAACCGUACACGGUAACUUCAAUUUCUUGCAUUGCUAAGAAAAAGUACAGCCAUGAAGGCCUGUUAGAUUGGUCAGGCAAUGCACCAAGGAGAGAGGAAGCCACUACCAGAAAACAGAAGGUUCUUAUAUAUCGACGUGAUGUAUUCCUGUCAGCCUUCCAAAACCGACAGGAAAUAUUCCUAGAACCCCUAUCCCCUUUUCUGAUGGUUUCUGGCCGUCAGGGAUGUUGUGUUCCUUGGUAGUGGAACUUGAACCUUGUAUCCCUAUGCCCUUUCUAUCACUCGCGGAAAAAGAAUGGUCAUGAAGCAGCAUUUCUCGAAAUUAAUUGCAAGAUAUUCUAAUCUGACUCCCAAUAGUACGACUUACGUCCGUCAUGUGUCACUAAGGUUCACUAUGACAUCAGAAAAAGAACCCACUCUUGUUCAACAAAACUAUCAAUCUUCACCUCGUUUUCUCAUGCAUCCUCAAUUCCUAAUCUGCCCAGCAUCUUCAGCUCUUUGUUAUCACAAAGCAAUUAUCAAUGUUUAAAGUGAAUGUCAUACACACAUGUGCACAUCUUUUACGAAUAAGAAUCAUAUAUCGGAGGAAGAUAAUUAGACGCCCUAGUCAAUAAUGUUGCAGUAUACAUGAUUUUUCCUUUGAGAGUUGAGCUCCCAUAUUAACAGUGUACUACACGUUAUUUUCUGGUGUUUCAGAUGUAGACUUUUUAUAUUGCAACCUUUGGUUGAAGAUUGUUAAAAUUUUAGUGAUCUCAAAUACAGCGGCUCCCAAUAAUUAACUUUGCCAUGUGCUCUGCUCUGUAGUUUAAAAGAAAGGAGCCCUGCUUUGACUAGUGUACAUGUAGUUGUGCUUUAUUUAUUUCAGCUGUCUCACUUUGAUCGUAAGAACAUGCAUGGGUAAUAAAAGUAAAGCAGCAUGGUCGUUCACCUCUUUCCUAUAACUAGUUAACUACUAGUAGUUUCAUCGUGGGCUCACUUGAGACAUUCCACCUCUUGCAAUCGCGUGCCUUCUCCUUCACCUCCGACUUCUCUAUCGCAUAUUUUAUCCUAUGGAGGCUAAUCUGACAUGUGCAUCUGCAAGAUUAGUUUCGGAAUGAGCGGUAUCAGGAGAAUGCAUUCCACAGGUUGAAGAUGGCAGAUAGUUCCCCAGCUCAGCCUAUCAGCCAUAGAGUCAGGUGUGCCCAAACAGAAACUAAAAAUUGAGCACAAACAAGUGAGAAAUGGUAGAUCCAUCGAGCCUCAUAGCAAUGACAGGGAAUCAUAUGGUACUUAUGAGCUUUCAGGGUCCGCUUCCUGCUCCUUUGAUAGAUGGCGAUUGGGAUGUGCUGUGCUGAUCAUCUCUGCCUAUGCUUUGAGGUCACCUUCGUUUACAACAAGGUCAACCCCGCGUUCGUGCUCCACUCCCUGCCGGCGGGCAGCACGGGCCAGUCCCUCUACGGCAUCUACCUGGUGGGCAUCCCAGACGAGUUGGCUGACGACGACGACCACAACGACCUCAGCGUUCAGGAUUCAAUUCCUCAGUUGAUUUAAUUACUUGAUACGAGACGGCGUCAUUGACGACCAAGGUGCCCAAAUGAGCUGAGAUAGCUUAGUGGGUGAUUGGAUCUUUAGUCCGGACUAAAGUUCGUGUCACAUCGAAUAUUCGGAGGCUAAUUAGGAGGAUUAAACAUGAGCUAAUUAUAAAACUAAUUAUACAGAUGGAGGCUAAUUCCCUAGACGAAUCUAUUAAGCCUAAUUAAUCCAUUAUUAGCACGUGUUUACUGUAGCACCACAUUGUCAAAUCAUGGACUAAAUAGGCUUAAUAGAUUCGUCUCGCAAAUUAGCCUCCAUCUGUGCAUUUGGUUUUGUAAUUAGUCUAUGUUUAAUACUCUUAAUUAGUAUCUAAACAUUCGUGACAGAAAUUUUAGGAGCUCCUAAAGAACCAAAAGAACCUUAUCUCUUGCAAACUUGUCACCGUUGAAUUUGGUCUUGUACGUAUUUCUCGUACUCAUGUCCAUAUAUGUAAAAUUGUCAUAAAUGGUAUAUUCUCAUCUCACAAAAGAGUGAAAGGAAAAUGUAGUUUAGCAAUUAGUAAUUAAAAGGGAAAAGAGCUAAGAAUCUCAUAAGCAAAUAAUUGAUCUUGAAACAGUAAAUUUUCACUUUGCAAGAUGACUUUGUACUAUACUCUGAAUCAUGGUUCUUGAACAAAAUGCGCUGAUGCAGUUUGGCCAAAGCAGCUGGAGACGUUCCAGGUCUCCCCCAAGAUGCCACCGCUCCACACGUUACUGAUUCCUUUGCAUUAGUUGCUGGUAUUAUAUAGGAGGGCCUUUGCAUUAGUUUCUGGCAUCAGCCUGGCAGGGAGGGAGUGAAACUGCCACAGCCAACGCCGCAAGGUGAUGCACAUGUUCAAGGUCAUGUAAUUUAAUUCUGCACCUGCCCGCUGCGGCCAUGAAAUAAAACCGCUGUAAAUAAUUUUGCACUGUGAAAUCAAUGCUGACUUGUACGCGUAGUAGGGCCGCUAAUCUAUAUAAGGAACCAAUCAAAUUAACCUUGCGUUUCCUCAAGGUGCAAUCUUCAACUCACUUCCUGCACAGUUCUUGCAAUCUCCCGUGUGCUCCUCCUCUACCUCGUCAGUUCUUUUACCCUCUUUUUGUGAGGAAGUUCUUUUACCUAUUGUAAACUGCCAAGCACUCAAGCAAUCUAUGCUGUGUCAUAUGUGUGUUGCCAUUGUCGCUUCGGAAUGAGUGGCGUUGGGACUUGGGAGAACAUAUACAGCAGUUGUCUAGACUCUGACGGUUCUUCACCAUGGUCACUGCACGCCUGGAGUUCGAGAAAGCACAUGUAGGUGUCAAUUGUUGCCUCUACAAAGCUGAAAUCUUGUGCAAAAGCAUGGGAGAAGUGUUGGGCAGUAUCGACGACCUUGUGGUCCAAUCGGAGGAACUCCUUUGUGCAAUCCGAUGUCCGGCGAUUGGCACACUAGUGCUGCUAGCAGCCCAAGGAAAAUCGUUGGACUGUUGUAAGGAAGCAUAGGACAUCAAGUUCAUCAUGAAUGCAUGCAUGUGCAGUAACUGAAAAUCUUUUACGUUUUCUCAUCCUGUGGCAGUAACCUUAGACAGUAGCUUGCUUGCAUUGCUAAGAAAAAGUACAGCUAUCAUCACCACCAGAAAACUGGAUUCCUGUCACCGUGACGUGUAAGAACCGACUGGAACAAGAAGUCUUUCCUGUCUUGUUUCUAAAAAAAAGAAGUCUUUCCUGUCGGCCGGACAAAACUUACAGGAAAUACUCCUAUACCCUUUCUUCCUCGCAAAGAGAAGUAAGGUGACGACUGACGAAGCUCUCUCACUUUUUUCCUUGACAAUUUUUGGUCGACAGGAACGUUCCGUUCCCUGCUAGAGGAACUUGAACAUUGUACUCCUAUCCCAUUAAUUUCUAUCGUUCGCAAAAGUAUAGUCAUGAAGCAGCAUCUCUUGAAAUUAAGUGCAACAUGUUCUUAUCUGACUCCUACUAGUACGACCAACGUGUCAUGUGUCAGGAUCACUUUGACAUCAGAAAAAGAAAGCCACAUAUAUGCAUUCUUAUUCACAAAACAAUCAACCUUCACCUCAAUACCUCAUUUCCCAUGCAUCCUCAACUCCCAAUCUUCCAACAUCUUCACAUCUUUGCGAUCACUUGUGUGCUCCUCUAUCUUCUUUCUUCUUCUCACUACGAAGCACUUACCAAUAUUCAAGGUGAAUAUAUGUACAUGCACGUGCACUUCGUUUAUGAAUAAGAAGCAUCGGGGAAAGAUAUUAGAGGGACAGGCUUGGCGCGGUGGCAUAGGGCACGGAGCUUUGCCAUGGGGGGUCCUCCUACGAGAAAUUCAACAGAUUCAUGGAGCUCGUAAAGAAAUGAAGUCUAUGCAGAAUGGAUGAUGAAAGAGUAAUAACUUCUUUUUUUUUUGGGGGGGGGGUGUUGGGGGGGGGGGGGGGGGGUUGGGGGGGUUGGGGGUCAUAUAUGAAUAAAAAAUGAAGCCAUUGUCCAAACACACUCAGAGAACGGAGCAUCUUGAUGAGAUUUCGACUAUUAUAUAAAAAAAGGAGAUGGCCUUUUAAUUCACGUAUUAGCUUUUGAGAUGCUUGUUUAUUCUCAAAACUUUGUUUGAGAUCGUGUAGCCUUGUCUACAUAUGUAGUUAUUUGUGGACUGAUUCUCCCUUAUUGAGAUGCUGAAGCUGGUUUUUCUACACAUUAUCUAUAAAAUAUAAAAAAUAUGAUAUUCGAUAAUUUUUUAGGAAAUGUAAUCACAUUUUUUAUCAAUAGAGAAGUGACAUGUAGUCAAGCAUUCUCUUCAACUAAACAAAAAUUAAAUAAAAUCUUUUGAGUUGAAUUAUUCUUAACCAAUUGUCUACCCGGUAAAUAAGCUGCAAGAUGCUAUAUAUUGAUCUGACUCCUUGUCAAACUAAAUUAGGUUUAAACAAAUAAGCCGCAAAAACUACUGCCAACCUUCAGCUCACAUCUAACACACUCUACCUUUUGCCAUCGCGCUUUGUGGCUCUCCUUCGCCUCCUUGCUAAUCCAAUCUUUUGCCUAUUUUCAUAUUGCCAUGCAAGCACUCAAUCCCUAUCCCUGGCCCGUCAGCAUUGCAUUAGGUUUGAUGCUUUACCAUCAGGUUUGAUGCUUAUCGACAGAAAACAGCGCUACCGGUGCGCACUAAGCUGCGACUAACGUUAGCUUAUUUUUGCACAUAAACAUGAAAGAAAGAAAAAAUAGUGGUUGCCUCAAGCAGAAAUCAGAAUCGCAACCGAUCAAGUGGCACAUGUCGUUCCUCCGAGGCACCCUGAAUCUAGCUAUAGUGGACUUGCAUUGUGGGAGUCUGGGAGAUGUCUUAAAGCAUCAAGAAACAUCAUAUUGUGCAUCUUUCUGAUAAAGGAAAGGAAACAAGACUCUGUACAUGAGUUGAACCCAUCCUGUGGGGACAAACCUUUUUUUUUUGUCUCUUAUAGGUCCCAAUGUAACCAUGUGCAGCGCGUACAUUAACGAAAAUAAUAUUUAAUUGAUAAGAACAAUUUAUUUAGAUCAAUUGAUUCAUAAUGAUAUUGUGAAUUUUCAACAAGGCUGGCUGUUCUCCAAAUUAUUAAAGCCCAUGUUCUGGGCUGAACUACCGGGCAGGCCCAUGAUUAACAGGUCGGUUGUUGUUUAGUACCACAUCGGCUGGAUUAGCAAAUCUAGCUCCCCCCAACGUGGCUUAAAACGACGCCUUGGGCGAUCUGGUAACGCAUCUUUGCGCUUGGGGCAAUGACGCAGCUAGUGAGGUCAUACCGAGGCGCGUCAAUUGCUGGUUGAAAACUAUUUCCAAACCCCCUCUGCGGCCCACCUGGGCCACAGAGAAUUUCUGGAAAGGGCACCCUCUAACCAGGGUAAAACCCUACAAUUCCUAAUGAAAAAAUUUAGGCUACCAACUCAGCCUGUAGCAUGUCUAGUUUGUCUCCUCUACCAACUCUAGCUAGUUAUCACUCGUAUUUCUUAAUCGCCUUUGUUCCUCCAACUAUAUAUGCAUGGUCGCCAAGCACUCCAUCGAGGCCAAUAAUGUAAAAUUUGCAUCCCCGCACCAAUGUGAAUGAGUGGAGUCAGUUCGCCGCCAUAGUUGAUGCUCGUAUCAGCACUCAGGCAAGCCCCAGGCUUGAUGGAACUGUUCCUCCUGAACCAAAACAUGCGCCUAAGAUUGAUGAUUUUGCUGGCUGCAAAUAGGACUGCAGCUAUCACUCUUCAGAUCGCGUACGACCUCCUUUUCGUCGACGGCAGAUGGAACUGGCUAUAACCAUCAAUUCUGAACAUGAAUUGCCUUGAGUCUAAAACUUUCUUGGUGUCUUGUGUCAUCUUAGCACAACAGCGGGGCAAAUAAAAGCCUGCUCGGCGGUGGUUGCACACAAUCACGGUGCACGGUGUCUCUUUUUUUGAAAUGAAAAGUUCUAUUAAUUUUAAAAUUGAUUGUUAUAUCGAGAUGAAACAAAAGACUUGAAAUUCUAUCCGGCUCGGUAUAAUCAGGAUAUACACAGCAGCCUUACAAUAAUAAAGAAAAGGGACUGAGAUCCGAUGCAGUGGCAACAGCUGCAACUUAAUAAGGUGUACGGUGUCUAGUAUCACCAUUCAUUAUGGAAUUGUGCGCACAUCUCUCUCUCUCUCUCUCUCUCUCUCUCUCUCUCUCUCAAUAUCUGAGCUACUCUAGUAAAUAACUUUGAUGAUAUCAGGUAAGUCAAUAAUAAAAAAUAUAUUUGCUCAUUCACAACAACUAUUUCAACUACUAUAACCACUACAGGGCAACCCCUCUAAUUUUUUUUAAAAAGAAUUAUAUCAACCACCUGCAGCUCACUUGCAUUAUUGCAUCACCUCCAAAGCCGUGCCUGCAUGUCCCUUUUUAUAUCCAUGGUUCUUCGCCCUGUUUUUCUUACCAGUAAAUGCUCGACAGAGGUUAAUCUGACAAGUGUGUCUGCUCGUUGCUACCUUGGGAAUGAGUGGCACCGGGAAAACAUAUUCAGCUUUGUCGGCAUCUUUAUCGGUCUGCCUCUAUGAUCGGUGCACAACUUGUGUGCCAAGGACAUGUGAAUUGUAUAUUAAUUUCCACUAGGCAGGAUGUCAUUGCUUUAGCUGACCUACUUACUAGAUUUGGUGAAGCGUGUCGGGGUUGAGAACAAAUUUCAAGAAAUCAAGUGUGGUGCCCAUAAGAUGCGAAGGGCUUAAUGUGGACGACAUCUUUGGAGACAUUCCAGUCACAUGAUCUUCCUUUCCGGUGCCAUACCUUGUACUUCCACUGACGACAUCAAGGUUUAAGAGAGUACACUUCCAGUACGUCAUAGACAAGGUGACCUGCAAACUCACUACGUGGAAUGCAAGGAACAUGACUAUUGCGGGCCGUCUAGCACUCACGAAAUCAAUAUUAACACAGGAGGUAUACGGGCCGUCUAGCACUCACGAAAUCAAUAUUAACACAGGCGGUAUACCUCCUGUCAGCAAUGGAGGCCCCAAAGAGGUGAUGAAGGAAAUUAACGCUAAGCACAAGAAGUUCUUUUGGGCAGGGGCGGUGACAUUAACAGGGGGAAAAUGCAAAGUGAAUUGGCGAAGGGUCGCCAAACUGACAAGACUGGGGGAGUAGGUAUUUUAAACAUCUACAAGUUUGCAAGAGGACUGAGGCUCAGAUGGCUUUGGCACGAGUGGAAAGCGGAAGACAAGCUUUGGGUGGGCUCCGAGGUUCCGUAUUAAUAACACAGAUAGGAAAUUAUUUGCGGCAUAUACACGCAUCGUCGUAGGCGAUGGAGCAAAGACUUCAUUUUGGAAUAGCGCCUGGUUUCAAGGCUAAAGUUCAAAAGACAUAGUGCCAGGUAUCUUCUCCAUUUCAAAAAGGAAGAAAGGAGUUUACGUGACGCGCUUCACAACCGAACUUGGAUCCGAGACAUAAACAUACACCACAGUAGAUUCUCUGUGCAACAUUUCCGAGAAUACAUCCUUCUAUGGCAAGUCGUACAACAGGUAGCCCUGCGUCCGGGUGUCCAAGAUGAAAUCACUUGGAAGCUUAACUACUCCGCAAAAUCCGCUUACGACGCACAGUUUAUUGGUUCGGCAUCCAACAAUUUUGACGGCUUGAUUUGAAAAAUAUGGGCUCCUAUAAGCUGCAAAACCUUCUCCUAGCUUGCAAUCGAAAAUCACCUUUGGACUGCUAACAGACUUCAGAAAAGGGGAUGGCUAAAUCAAACUACCUGCCCACUAUGUCGGAGAUCACAAGAAUCGGUGCUACACCUCUUCGCCGAAUGCCGGGUUACAACAAGAAUCUGGGCCAUGGUGGCGGACUGGUUAUCGGCGCCAGCAAUCCACCUUAUCGGCGCCAGCAAUCCACCCGAGGGUUUGGCAACAGACUGAUACGUUGCACCAUUGGUGGUCGAUGAGAGCGGGAGCAAAUUCCUGCUCUAAGAGAGGCAUGCGAACUUUGAUUAUGCUAGUUACAUGGACAAUCUGGAGGGAAAGGAAUAGGAGAAUAUUUAACAGCAAGGAGUCUACUGUCAAUAUGAUUUUCGAGAGGAUCAAAUACGAGGUCGCUGUGUGGAUUCUAGUGGGAGCGAAACAUCUCUCCGCUCUUCUGGCGCGAUGCUGAUUGCGAUUGAGUUCAUAGUGUUGUUUUAUUUUCCUGGUUCAAUUUUUGCCUCAUUUCACUUUUGAUACUUUGUAUUUAUCCAGUCUGGAUUUCUUCUUUUUAAUAUAAUCGGCAGCUCUCCUGCCAGGUUCGUUUUUCAAAAAAAAAAUUCCAUGAAACAGGACAAACUGUGAUGGCGUGAGAGGUUAGCAACUUUUUUUUAAAAAAAAGAAACAAGUAAGCUGUUUCUGGUUUGUGUUCUUGCUCAAGAAUUGCAAAACUACUUUGAGAUCUAUAAGAAGAAUCAGCUGCCUUAAUUUCCCUGAAUUUCAUCACAACUCACAAGGAAGAAGUGGCGCUGACGGCUUGGAAUGUAAUCAGCUUGGAAAGGUAGAAAUUGUUGGGAAGCAAAUUGAAGGUUUGUGACUUCGGUUCACCUCCUUUUACUCAUUAGGAGCAUAGCACCGUUUGGCUUCUUUGUACUUUCAUUGAAUGUUCUCAGAAGCUGCUUCGAGCCCAAAUUAUCUCCACAUCUUCACAUUAGAUAAUGAAAGGAAAGAAUGAUUGUCUCAGAACGAAGCCAAGGAUGGUGGUGUUGACCAAGCACACAGUAUCGAAUUGCAAUCCAUGCUAAGCACCUGCCUAUCAAAGAACAUGAGCAAUUCAGUCAUCAGUAUUUGAGAAAUGGAUAGAGCCUGAAAGCUUGACCACUGCCCACUAAUUAAUUGCCUGCUACUACAAGAUCACGAUGAUCGAAUCCACUAAUUGACAUCAGGUGUGAGUCACAGUGGAUGCUAUACACACAUGAUGCUAGUCUGAGCUCUGAAGACAGAGUCUGUCUAUGCAAUUUGGGAUUCAUUUUCAUCUUCAGUCUUCCCUUCGCUGCACAGUAACAUCUGGCCGAAUUUGUCUUGACUAUUACCAGUGACAGUAUAAAUCACCUUCAGCUCUAAUAAGCUGACCACUGUGCGUUAUUGCAUGCCUGCUGCAGCAUUUCAUCGCCGAGAGAGCAGCUUCUUCUGCAGGCGGCGAUUCUCGGAGGCAGCCCCGUCGGAGACCAAGCGGGUGCGGCGUCUCUCCACGAUCACGCCUGGGUCCCGCCACCGCUUGAGAUCGCCGUACCCACCAGCCGGUGCGUCAUAUGGGUGGGGUUAAGCACUUCCUCGCGGCGGCGGCGGCGGGCGGUGCCGGAAGGACGGGAGAAGACGGCCCGAUCUGAACCUGUACCUAUAUGAAAAUAAUAGGGGUCAUUUUGCAAAAUAAUCGGAUCGCGAUUAAUAGUCGCGAUCCAAAUUAAGAGUUUAAAUGUAAAAAUGGGGGGUAUUUUGCAAAUAAUCGGAAUCGCGAUCCAAUCCACGGGAGCAUUUGCAAAAUUCACGAUCGGCGAUCCGCUCCUCCGCGGCGCCUCGCCGCCGCCGGAGCUCCGCCACAGGCCGCGGGUCGCUUCCCUCGGGUGCGUAUUCUUCCUCCUGCACGCGUCGCAUCGCAGCAACUAGCGCGGAGCAAACGGUUUCCGGAGCUCCAAGGGGGGCGGUCUGUCUCCGGGCUGACAGGAAACGCCGCCUCUGGCUUCACGCCGCGCGCGGCUCGCCGGAGCGGCACGUACGACAGCGCCGCACUCCGGCCGUACGUUCCUCGCUUCCAAACUUCCACGUCGAAUCGCCGGCGGCAUGGUCCACCAUUUCCGGUAAACGUAGUUGCUGUCCGCAGCCUCCUGCAGAGUGCCGUGAAUUUCAGGCAGGCACUUUCAGUUUCAGGGUCAUCGCAAUGCGCAAGUUCAGAACAAGAAGGUGACAAGAAGAAGAAGAAGAGCUGCUGACUGCCCUAUAAUUCGGUGUUCUUGAGCUAAAAAGAAAAUCAUGGCAGAAUUCUCCUCGCAUGCAAUGCAACUGCAAGCAAGCAGUGUGGUCAGAAAUGUGACGCAGAGACCAGCUUCUUUGGUUGGUUCUUCACACUGUAACUAUUUUUUUUUUCAAGCACGGUACUUCAAAUUUGAAAUUCCCUGUGCUGGUAUGAAGAUGUAAUGCAGCUUAAACAUUAAGCAUCCGUGUUACGGAAGUAGGACGAAAGAGUUGCAGUACUAUACUAGGGACAGAGCGAUUCAGUCAUCAGUACUCGAGACGUGGACAGAACCUGAAGGCUUAGCCAAUGUUUGAUUCUUGAGUCAUCACUGUGCCUGUCGGUGCAAUUUGGCCGGUUAAUCUUCUGUCUUGGCUGCACAGUAAUUGCCUUGCCUGCUAGCUACUACACGAUCACGAUGAUCAGACUCACUAAUUGACAUCAGUUGAGCCACACAUCCACACAUAGUGCUUGCCAACACAAUGUGCAAGAUGUUGUGCUGUCAAGGAAGACAGCUUCAUUCCCGUGUAAACAAGACACACAGCAAUGUGCAAGAUGGUUGUGCAGUUAAAAGAGAAACAUCAGUCUUGUGUUGUGACACUUGUGCAUUGAUCUUCAAUACUUGAGCUUGCUUGCUAUACACUGAUAGUUGAGGAUUUAGCUGCGUUCCCUCUUUCCUCCUGUGCGCUCUCUCACAUUUCUCUCCACGGCCAAGAAAAGCACUUUGCUGAGAUCAAUGUGAUACGUGCACGCAUCUGCUUGUGUCUCUUAAUUUAGUUUAGAAUGAGCGGGAUCAGGAAAUCACAUUCGACGGAGUAGUCGAUGUCAGGAUGCCAUUUCUCUUGUGUGCUCUCCUUCGCCUCCUCGAUUCCUUUCUACCUAUUUUCACAGCAGCUAGCAGUGAAUUGAGGUCAAUGCGACAUGUUCACAGUUAGGGAAUGCAGUUCGACACCAUGGCUGGUGAUCGAGCAUCCUGACCAGUGCACGAGAGAUGAUGUACUUCUGAACGACUUCCCAGCGAGCGCGAUGGUGAUCACGAUGGACCCUGUUCGUGUGUGAUGAGAUGAAACCCUGGCGGAGCCAGGAGCUUUGAGACGGGAUGAAAGUUUCAAUUCAAGUGCAAAUCAACUUUGUUGUUUUUCUCCUUGCAGCAAAGCUUUUGCUGCCCUUUGGGGAAAAAAAUUGUGCUCAAAACAAAAUAAUUCAAACAACACACUAUUACAACAAAGUGAGCACUAGGAAAAAGUUAUAGCAUGCCGCACAUGAAUACCUAUGGCUAUAGCAGAUGCCCAUUAGUGAGCUGCGCUACAUAAUCUCAAGACAAAUUAAUGGCUUGUGUAUGGAAUGGCUUGGAAUGUUGCUAUGUAGAGCUGGGUAUAGUUCAGAACAUGUGCAUCAUGUUACGCUCUGACUGCUACUACAAAUGAGGUAAGGCCAAUGUAAGCAUUUUUAUCAGGUCAGGAUCACUUUGACAUCGGAAAAUAAAUUCAAUCUUAGGAAUAAUAUGAGAUGCCCCCUUCUGUUUGUUACUUUGUUGGCGAGAUAUACCGUACAGGACAAUACUAUAUAGCUCAGUUGCCAUACACACAACGCCGAAUCUUGCGUUGUGCUUUUCAGUUCCUCUGUUCUUCUACCUAUGCUCUUACCACCAAAGCACACAAUUGAGUUUUUGGUGACAUGUGCAUCCACCCUUGCUCGGAAUGAGUAGCACCAGGAAAAUAUAUUUGACACAUCUGCUACUAUGUUCAGUUCUCCACCAUGGUCCAAGUCCGAACUCACCAUCGCCAAGCGCGCCUGUGGCUGACGGAAAUGCUAAGCACCGAGACUGGAUUUCCAGAGAAACACGAAGAGGGAUGGUGUUCCUGCUGUGCGCAGUCCAGCACCAGUCGACUGACAAGCUCAUCGUUCGUUCCUGAGCAAGCGCUUGGAACCUGCAAGUGGUUGGUCCAAAGCAUGCGUUGCAGCUGGCCGUGACUCAUAUCGAUUUCGUUGAGACGUCCUGUGUCUUUUUCUUUGACGAAAAAUCGUCCGGACGUCCGAUGAGAAAAUUUGCCUCUUGUUCUUGCCCCGUUUUCACCUACUAUCUCUCCACAAGCACGUACUCAAUCAAGGUCAAUAUUGAUAUACGCGUGUGCUUUUGCAAACCACUUCCGGAUCCAAGAGGGAUCGGGAAAUAAAACUUAUUUUGUGGACUAGUCAGUAGUGGCAUGCCGCGUUGGUCUCUGGCUUUCUGCUCGAGUGUGCUAGCACUGUAAGUCUAAAACUAGUACUAACACCAACCCUGAGCUAAACUCCACAUAUUCAGCUCUUGCCAUCGCUUGUGUGCUCCUUUGCCUCCUUGAUCCCUUCUUUUACCUAUUUUCUCUACAGCUAGCAGUCAAUAAUUAAUCAAGGUCAAUCUUCUCGCAAAAAAUAAUGAUCAAAGUCAAUGGAUAUAUAUAGACUUGCAAAGAGUGCGGCAUAUGGGAUAACGCGAAUUCUGGAGCCCAGCCAGGUUCUUGCGCAUCGUUCUGUAGCUGCACGCAUGGUUGGCCAUCAGGGGUUUCCACAACACAUCAUGUGGCUGGCACACCGAAGGCACGCUCGCACGAUUGGUGGAAGGCAAAGGUGCAAUCUAAGUUGCUGAUGAAGCAAUUGGCAGCUUCCCUAACUUCACUGAAUAGUACGUCAUGCUCUUGAAACACACAUUGGUCUGUUGGCUCGAGCUAGGGAGGUUUAGAAAAGGACAAAUUGCCAGAAAAUCACUAUGGAUCAUCGGAGUUGUAGUACACACUUUUAAGGCGCAAGUCUUUAUGGCAAACCACCAGAUCAUCAGAGUACGCCAUAUACAUGUUCCUUUUUAGAUUUCUUUUAGUUUCUCCAUGAGACAAAUCUUGCUGUAUAUAUAAACAGACACAGUAGUAUCUCUCUGUAUCCACCAUGUUCCUAGCUUCCUCUACAUCUAGCACCCUCAUCCAAGAACUGGCCAGAGUAGACGCCAAAACUGAAAAACAUCCAAGCAAGGCAAAACUAUUAACUUGGUAGCUACAAGCAUACAGCUCAGAUCAUAAUAUAAUUUCCCGAGAGUCGCAGCAGUUGCUAUGCCCGCUAAGCUAGCGUUUGGACGCACAAUCAUGGUUUUUCGGAUGGAGCGGCGUCGGGAAAAGGUGCCCUGGAGCCGAGCUAGCUUUGUGGGCUGCCAUGCCGGUAGACCAGUGGACAGGGCCGAGCGCAUGGGAGUGCGGCCUGUGCAAUGGCACAGGGCCUCCAAAUUUUAGGGGCCCACCGGGACUGGCCGUCCUCCAUCGUGAUCCAGCCGCAGGCCUGUCCAUCCAUCAUUGUCCAUCCAUCAUUCAGCAGUUCAGCCAAUUCGUCAGCACUUAGUCGCAGGCUUUUGAUACUUCAGGCUUCAACGGAUCAUCACUGUACAUGGCAGCACUGUAGUGGGAUCGAGGCAUCACCGGCUCACCGCGUCAGGCUUGCGCACGCGCGCUUCAGGCUUUAGCCCUUGAUGUGGCACCGGGAUCGAGGCGACGAGCGGACAAGACGUCACCGCGUCAGGGUGACAGGCCGAUUGCACCGACUUGCUUUUCGGUUUUCGUCGGCCGAUUGCGCAGCCCCGGCGGCAUUGAGGCGCUGGCGCAGGGUGAGGGGGAACCGAUCUGGCGAUCUGGAAGACUGGAACGUGCCGGAUUUAACACUUUAUGAAUUGUGAUCGAUCGUCGAUCGAGUCUCCAGGUAUACUAAUUAGAUCCAGUUAAUUUUCAAUAUUUUAAUCAAUUUUGAUGGGUGAUGAUUAAUAUAAUCAGACCUCAUUUUAGAAUUUAGCACAGGAUCUCGAUUUUUGCCGCCUCGGCCCUCCCAGUGGAUUACCAUCAAAUUCGUCCAGACGAGGUACCACACCAGCGAGGACUGCUUUAAACGUGCAUUUUGGACGGGUGCUUCUGUUGUGGGCGUUGCUUCUUAGAGACCUCUAACGGGCAGAUCAUCAGGUCUUUGAUGAGGACAGUAAGUCCAUUCCAGUAUUCUAGUCUCAAGGUUUGGAAGUCGCGUUGUUUAUAGAUCUAAAAGCAGUAGUUUGUAAUUAUGGUUGCGUUCGGUAGUGAUGGCUGCUGUAGUAGCUGGAGAGUAGUAUGAACAGCAGCUGCAGCCAGAUGAUUUAGUCCACCAGCUGCUUGGUAAGCUAUAGCUGAAUGGCUGGAUUGUACAGUCGCAACCUAAGCAGCUGCAAUAAUCACAGCCAAACAGGUUGUAUUUGAGCAAAGGAAACAAAUUAGCACAGCAUUUAUGUUCUUUUGUAAAAAGAGUUUUUGCUCCGGUGGUCCCUUCCAUUAAAACUGCACGAUUCUUAAAGCAAGAGAGAAUUAAUUUCAUUUAAUUUCGCUCUGGGUACUGCUUGGGGCCGGCCCUACCCGUGCCCAAAUCGAGACCAGCCUGUGCCCACCUAUUGUUUGGCCUGCCUAUCCCCGAUCCGCCGUUUCAACUCUUCAUCAGCGCGCCGAGCACACGUGGACGGACGUUGGCCGCUCCAUCACAGUGACGGAGCUGACGGUGGCGACGGCUUCACAAAGCAACACAACACUGGAAACUGGGAUCUCGAGCAAGCCGCCUCCUCGGAGGCCAAAGCCCGGUGGGAUCUCGAGCUCGCCGUAGACGUAGAGGUCGAUGCGGCGGCGCGGGCGUCCCCUGUUGCUACGGCGUCCACGCCCGGCCAUUGCCGCCAUCGUGGAUAUCCUCCACCUGCUACGAAUCGUGAACUCGUCAUGUGACGAGGAACGGCGCCGCCGCUGUCCGUCCGUCCGUUCACACGAGACGCGACUGAGGCAACCAAAAGAUCCGAAACAAAUAGGUGGGCACGGGCCGGGCUCAGUCUGGCCACUUGCCGGGUCCAAAUAUUACCCAGAGAAAAAUUAAUUAAAAUUAAUUACUCCUUGCUUUAAGAAUCGUGCAGUUUUUAUGGAAGGACCAUUGGAGCAAAACUUUAUAAAAAAAUAUAUCAACCUCCCACAGUUCACCGUUUGAUAAUUGGUGGAAACUUAUGGACCGGACUAAAUAAGUACUUGUCGAUUUCUCCUCGCCAUGUAGACACCAUGACAUGACACAUGCACGAUUGCCUCUCACAAAGUCCUGAGAGUACUUUGGGAGGCAGCAUCCAUCCUCUGUGACUGUGAGGCCACGCUCUGCCGAACUGCCACUCAGCAGGCGACCGCAUUAACAAGUCAGGCGGUGGAUACUUGGAGGCUUGGACGGAGCUCGGAGUUGUUCAUGUGCCGUCAUUUUUGCAAACACUACUAUCGGUGUAGCAAUUGGAACUAAAACGAUGUAGACGAGCUAUGGUCCAUGGAAGAUCUGAACGAUGACGGAUGGCCAAAUGGAUGUGGCUUCACAUGACACGCCACCGAUAUUCCUACAUGGCUUCCGGAAGUUAGGUAGUUACUUGGCUUCCACUGCUUUAAGAUUCGUGCGGGCACUAGAGAUCGUCGAUCCAUCUUCUCCUCUUCCCCUACUCUUCUUCUCUCUCACGUCGUUGUUGCCUCCCGAUGCCGUCGCUACCUCCCGCACCGUUGACGGGUUGAGUUUGGAGGAGCGGGCAGGAGGUGUAGGAAGCGGUCGGCGGCGAGGUCAUCACGGUAGGGGGAGAGGUCGAGGCCUGCGGUAGUUAGAGUUGGGAUUCGGGUUUUGAGGUUCGGGGGCUCCAAUGGCCACCGAUCUUAGAGAAGGAGGAGGGCGGCGGCGGUGGAAGCCUGGAGGAAGUGGCGGGUUGGCCGACGACGGAGGCGAGGUGGCACGGUAGCACCGUCGCCCGGGCGGGGUCGGACAUCCUGGUGGGCAGUGGUUGAGGGCGGGGGUGAGAAGGAGCGCUGCUGGAUUAGGAAGGACGGUCCGAAGAGGGCGGCGAUGGUUUGUGGGUGGGCAGCAUGGCGGUGCGCUCGCCGCCGGUCGAGGUAACGGAGGUGGCUGUUGGGAGGGGAAGGAUAGAGGAAGGAUAGGGAGGAAGAAGAAAGACAUUGUGCAUGGGCUUUGAUGGGCCUCUAAGCCAUGGCUCCUAUCUAGCUUCCAAGCCAGAUAGGAGCCCCCACACGGCACGACCUGAGCCCAGCUAGGCACGGCGUGAUUUAGCCGGCCCAUGGGCUGUCCGGACCCACUGUUCACACUUCACAGCACAUCAUUUGUUUGAAUUAGGCUUAAGUGGUGGCAAUGAGUGUUUGUUGAGCUUAAUGGGUCGGUCUUUAAUCGGACCAUGCUUGGUCCAAGUCCAAAUCCCAUACUUCGGGCUAGCCCAUUAAGCUUGGUCCAUGCGACCAUCUUAGCGGCGGCUCAACGUGGGUGUGGGCCUCGGUCACCGCACACUGUGGAAAUGUGGCAAAAUUGCAGCAAGCAAUGCGAAUACGCCACGUGCCCAAGCCCACCACCCUAGUCACCUUGCUUGCCAACAACUGCCGCUGUAGUUGCCUAUAUAUACAGAUAUUCUCCAAAUGCCCACUCAACCCACCACUACUUUUAUGCCUUAUUUAGUUCAUCCUAAAUCCCAACUUUGGCACUAUGCAAAAAGAAGAUUCUCCAUCACAUCAAACUUGCGGUACAUGUAUGGAGUACUAAAUAUAGAUGAAAUUAAAAACUAAUUGCACACUUUUGUUGUACUUUGCGAGAAGAAUUUUUUGAGCCUAAUUAGUCAAUAUUUGGACAAUAAUUCAUAAAUACAAACGAAACGCUGUACAGCUGCAAAAUUUGGUAACUAAGGCCUUGGAAUAAGCGGCGUUGGGAAAUUAUGUUCCGCAGCCUCGAAAGGCUCAGGCCUUGGGCGCCGAAACUAGAAAGCAGUUGGUGUUCCCAAUGCCAAGAGUUUGGGUGCACGAUCAUCGUCAUGGCUUUUCGGAACGAGCGACAUCAGGAAGAUGUGUUCCAGAAACGUGCAACACCCUUGGGCUGCCGUGGUGGAUAACGAGUGGAUUACCAUGAAGUUCCUCCGCGCAAAGUACCUGCUCUUCGAGUGCGUUACAUAGCUCCGACGCCGAGUCCUGAACAGCUGUGGCCUUGUGGGUGUCACGCUGCUCGAGGCCUCUGACGGGCAGGUGCUUCGCGUUGCAAUCCAACGUUGUACAUGGUUGGCUGCUGGCACCACCAUCACCUUUCCCUGUCUAUCUUUGUGAAGAUGAUUUGGGCUGUAAGAAGCUUCUGAGAAAGUUCAAUAAUGCAAGUACAAAGGAACCGAAUGGUGCUAUGCUCUUGAUGUGUAAAAGGAGAUGAACUGAUGUCAGAACCCCCAAUUUGCUCCCCAACAAUUUCUAGGAAUAUGCUUGCCUCUCAAAGCUCUUACAAUUCUUGGGCCGCAGCGAUUCGCCCAUGAAGUUAGCUCCAUUCUCCACCAAACCACGGGUCCAUGCCACUUUGACUCUCGGGCCCUUAGGUUAGCAUGCAAAAGUAAAUGCACCACAUGCAUGCGCGAAGCAACUAGCUCAGUGAAUUUUUAAGGACGUCUUCUACCCAACUGUGCAGCCUGCAGCAAUCGUUGGUAGUAUAUAUAUAGUCAACAGUGCGUGUCCUGGACAAAUGCCCGAUCAAUCUACUGAUAAGCUACUAGACCUCUUCAGCCGUGGAGACCCACCCGAAUGAACUAGCAUGGUCUGAGAAUGAGUGGUGUUGGGAAUGUGUGUUGCGCAGUCCCGAUGGCUCGAGCCGUGGGCUAAGCUGUGUAGACGGUCGCACGGAUGGGUGCCGAUGCAUGGCGCCUGAACUGAUGCACCAGAGUGUUUGGCUGUCCAAGUCCUGCUGCCACGCUGGUCCGAUCAUGACCGAAUUCAUGGAUUACGCAUCAUCACAUUUGGCGGCGUAGUAAAAAAGGUGCCGCAUCUUCUUCUGCGGACACUAUGUAAAAACCUAACAAACAAAAGACAUCUUCAAUGGAGAUGCAGAAUUAAAUUGCGUCUCCAAUAUGUCUACCCGAACUAGGAAUAAACAAAACGCGUCUCCUAUGUGGGUAUAUUGGAGACGCGUAUUAAAAAACGCGUCUCCGAUAAUAUAUAGGAUCAUUGGAGACACGUUUGGAUGGAGACGGUCGAAUGUCCCAAAAGUUCCUAACCCUAGGUUGGUGGCAUGCAGGUGGCUCUCGAGGCGCACUUCGAGAACGAUCUGGGGCUGGACACCGUCGAGGUGGUGAUGGCCAUUGAAGAGGAGUUCAACCUCAAGAUCCCUGACCUGGAGGCCGACAAGAUUGACUCAUUUUCUUGGUUUAAUUUGUUUCCGAGGGAGAAUAAUUGGCCGGUGUUGUUCAGGAAAACUUGUGCUCCUGAUUCUUUUGCGACAGAUGAUGAUGUUGAAAGGAUUGUGAUCCUGUGUAGGUAAUGAACAAAUUGAUCCCUUCCUUCUCCCCCAAUUGUAGGCAGAUUCUGAUCAAGUGAGGUGCUAAGUAAUUUUAGGGAUUUUACAAUACCUUUCCAUGGAGUAUUCGAACAGGGUUUUCUAGUUGAAUAGAAUGUGAUGUGUGAAACUGUGAAUCAUUUUGUAGUCGACCUUGUGUAGUCUAGCAGAAAAAGGGCAGGUCUACAGUGCGGCUCCGAUUAGAAAUAGUAGAUGAUAGAAUUAAAUAAUGUGGAGAAAACCAAAGUUGUAGGAAACUAUUCUUAGAUGUUUUUGGUGUACUUGUUUGACACUUUCUGUUGUAUAAAGGUAGGUAUGAAAAUGACCAAGGCUACCAUGCUGCAGGAGUCCGGUUAAUGAAGAAGGCUAACUUUUGGGGAAGUUGGCAACUAAGUUAUAGAUAUGUGAGCUUGUGGCCUUGAUGCUAAGUAGAAGCUGCCUCCUCUUGUCUUAUGACUAAUGCUCCCUUAUUUUUGCUUUUCUGUUUAUUUUGUUCUGAUCCAGACAAUAAUGGGACAAAGCGUGUUAUGCCUGGUGGAAUCGAUGAUCUUGCAGUGCUACUGUUAUAUCCUCUAGCCAUGGUAAAUUCAGAAGCUUGUAGUGUUUAACUUUACUACUCUGUGAUACAUAUUUAACUGUAUGGUAUAUUCCUAUGACGAGACAUGGUAAUUUGAACUCAGGCUGUCAUAAAUUCCGUUAUUUACACCUCUAGUCAUUUCUGUUCACCAUUUAGUUCAUUGUUGUAAUCUGAGUGGAAACUGAGGAAUUCUAAUAUUCUCUCUCCAACUUGUUCUCUGACUGCCCCCCAAAUGAUUUGGUUUCAGACCUAGGGUUGUUGCAUUGCUGCUCAGCGUCGUGAUCGAAUCCUAAUUUCAUCCAUUGUCCCCCCAACUUGCAGGUGAUUUCUCCUCUAUAUCCAUCUACCCCUAGCCUCUCCAUUACUUUGUUUCCUGUUAGCUCUCUCCUAUCACUUCUGUGUUGCAAUCUAAUCCUGUAGGGUAGACAGGUUUAGCAAGAAUAGAAUCUAAGAAUAAUAGACUUGGUACUUGUACUAAAACUGCCAGUUUGAAAUAGUAGCCUUUGUUGAUCACUGCAGUUCACAUUAUUUGUAUGCAUAAAUGCAAUUGGUUACUGUACCUUUGUGAGAUAAAUGCCUGAUUUUUACAAGUUGCUGGAGUCCAAUUUGUGAUAUGCAGCAGAUGGACAUGCACUGUACUACAGACAUUAAGAGUUGUGGUGUGUUACUUUCGAAGCCAACAGGCAGCUGCUCGACCAUACAUGCACGCAGGUGAGACCAUGAAUUGCAUUCUGAUCGAGUCAAAAUUCGUAAGAAAAUUAAAUGCAGAGAGACCAUAUGAUUGAAUUUCAUGCAAAUUACAUUCUCUAUUUACAGAGUAGCACUGAACAAUAUCAUUUGUGAUGCUAGGCAUUGAUGCUGGUCUUAAUUUCUGCUUUCAAGGUAUUUCAACUGUUUUUAUCAGAGUAUAAUUUCCUGGAACGUGACUGCAUUCUGUUGAUAUUUCAACUGAACUCAUGUUGUUCUAUUUGCAGAGUAUAAAAUCUUUAGAAAAUGGCUGGCUCUGAGGAUAUACGCACUCUUGUCUGUGAGAAUGGAACUACAAUGAUCAAGGUCAGGAAAUCUAUGCCUUAGCCUCUUUUUCUUCUUCCCCUCUUCUUAUGAAAAUCAAACAGCAAUAUGUACUUCUCCAAACAAUGGUGGAUUCAGUUUGCUUAACACUGUAGAAAUGCAGUGUUUGACUUUUUCAUGUUUGCUUGGUGAAGUGAUGAAUAUUUUUCAUGUUUAUGGUUUCAUGUGUAUAUCUACAAUUGAAUGAAUAUCUCAUCCUCAGGCUUAGUCUUCCAUUUUUCUGCUUGAUAAAAUUAUGCUUGGUUGUUUUCUGUUUGACUUGUGAAGUGAUGAAUGUUCUUCUCAUGUUUUAAACUGUACAAGACAAGUUGAGCCAAGUUUAGAAUGAUUCUCUCUAUGUAGAUGUGCAUUAGUUAUUAGUUAGUUGACACAUGGGAGGAGUGGAUGUAAAUUAUGGAAACUAGUACUAUCUUUUAUUGUAAAUGAGCACUACUGCAGUACAAGUGUAUAUGUGAUAUACACCUCUACAAUGGAUAAAAGAUUUGUAUUUGUUAAAAUAUAUUAUGUCUCUUUUCUUUUCUUUUUUCUGUUUUUUAAUUUGUCAUUGGACGCGGGUUGGCAAAUCGCGUCUCCUAUUAUAGAGUCAUAGGAGACGCGGAUUUGCCAAAACGCGUCUCCUAUGACGGUCACAUUGGAGACGCGGAUUUUCCGAGUCUCCGAUGAUAUGUCAUCAAAGAUGAAAAUUUAGAGACGUGAAAAAAUCGCGUCUCCUUUGACUCUUAACCCACGUCUCCUUAGAAGACGCCAUACACAGUGAGAUCCUCUGAUGAGGCUGUUCGCCUGUCGUCUGCUACUGUGCUAUUGUAAUACUUUCUUUUUGCGAGACGUGCUGCUACUGCUAAGUACUCCCUUUGUAUUAAAAUAUUUGUUGCUGUUGAUUUUUCCUCGCGACGUUUGACCAUUCAUCUUAUUCAAAAAAUUAUUGCAGAUACAUGAAAAGAUAAGUCAAGCUUAUAUUAAUACCUUUGAUGGCAAAUAAGUCACAAACAAAACGAACAAUACUUACAUAAUUUUAUUCAAACAAAACGAACAAUACUUACAUAAUUUUUUGAAUAAGAUGAAUGGUCAAACGCCACGAGAAAAAGUCAACAGCGACAAAUAUUUUGAUACGGAGGUAGUAGCCAGUAACGACGCAUCACAUGGCGUCACCCUGCAGCAUGCACUGCACAGUUUCUUUUCAUUUGUUUGCCCCCUUCUUUUUGAGACUCAACCAUCAUACAUGGAUGGCUCAACCACCACACCAACAAACUCAUCAAUAUCGAUCAAUGUUUCCAGCUUCUUCGAUCAUUGCUAUAUAGUACUCCUAUAUACAUGGAGAGUACACAAGAAACCAGCCAGCUUGCCUCCAUUGUAUUAUCGAUUGGCAUGUUUUAGUUUCCUUCGCUAAUUAAGCUUCCCCCAUGGACAGCUUAUUACAAGGACAGAUGAGUCAUGGAGACCUGAAAGAGUGUGUGGGAUAUGUGGGAAAUGAGCGGCAUUGGGAAAACGAAUUCUGAAGCCCAGGCAGUUUCUUGGGCAGUUUCUUGGUGACAUUCGUUAACGAGGGAAGUUAUCACGCAACGCACCCGGCGNNNNNNNNNNNNNNNNNNNNNNNNNNNNNNNNNNNNNNNNNNNNNNNNNNNNNNNNNNNNNNNNNNNNNNNNNNNNNNNNNNNNNNNNNNNNNNNNNNNNAAAAUGUUCUGUAGCUGCAAGCAUGGAACGAAUGUCACCAAGGGUUUCGAAAACACAUUGCCUACGGCUUGCACCGGAGGCACGCUCGUACAAUACGUGGAAUGUAAAGGCGUGAAGAUCAGAUUUGCACUCUCCGAUCCUCUCUUGAUAUAGAACACGUAUGGCAUGCUCUUUCUGAACCACUCACAUUCACCUCUAGCUUGGGAGAGUCCAUCUAGCUAUAGCUCGUGAAGAACACACAGGCAAAACGCAAAAAAGAAACUAAAAAAAUGAAGAAUUAUAGACAUUUUGAAGUAUUUUUAUUGCUGGGGUGUUGUUUGCAAGAAUUUUUAUUUGUGGGGGUUGUUUGUAAGCAUUUUUAGAGUCCACAGUAGCUUCAGGUCUUGAAAAAUGACAGUUGCCAGCAUCAUAAUGAUUUUUUUCUUAUUUUCAAUACUUCCAUGUCUGUUGACGUAUAAGGCAUAUUUCAAUUUGAAACGGCAAGGUUUAGUGUAAACAAAUUCAUGUUAAAAAAUUUAAAAUGCUAUUGAUUUUGUCCCACACAAAAUCCAAGGAAUAUAGGGAGGCUCUUUCUAGGUGCAUACUUCAUUCCUAAAAGAAGGUCACUAUCUAAGUAUCUAGCAUUCAGAAUUUGUCCCACACAAAAUCAUUAUGUGUGUUUAAGACAGUUAGCAGGGCCCACCUAAUUAAAAAAGGAGAUCUCCAUGCAUAUGUAUUCUCCUCCACUCACGUGGUGCGUUGCAUGGCGCAAUACACACAUUCAUUGCGGCUAAUCAGAUACAUGCAGAUGCAGAUUACAGAGGGGCAAUCAUGUCGUUUCAUCUCUCGUUAUCUUAAUCUAUCUAUCUGAUAUUGGCCAGAGUGAUUUUCUUGUAGGAAUGGAGGAGUAUAUAUAUUACAUAUGGGGACCUGGCCAUUUCUUCAUUCCCCUAUUAGUUGAUUACUCACUCCAUUCAUCCUGCUAGUUUAUGACUGAUUUAUACGUCAUUGGAGUGUAUGGCUCAGUAGGUUUUUCUUUUACAACGAAUCGACAUCGAUCUAUUAGAUGUAUGUGAGCAAUGUGUGUUUUGGGUUUGGAAUGAGCGGUGUCAGGAAAAGAAACAUGACGAAGACGACCCACAACUUGGUACUUGGCUUGGGGGAACCGGGAACCCUGCGGAGACGUCAAGUUGGUGUUGCUAGACACUAGUGGUGCCCUCGUGCCGCCAAGGUACUUCGAGCGUCCAGAACCUACCGUGGUGGCGGCGCAUCAGACCGCCAAGGUACUUCGGAUGGUUGCCACUGCGCACGACCGCGAUGCCGGCUCCACGUUCCCGAUGCCACACGAAAUUUGUAGUAUAUUUAUAUAAGUACCUAUAUAUCAGAACUAUGGGUGAUGAGUUUGUCAAGGCACGGGGGGGCGGAGGGCUCGGCCGCGCCAGCAAGACUAGCGGCGGCGGCCACCAUGGCUUUUCGGAACGAGCGGCAUCUGGAAAACGUGCUCCGAUGCCGAGCUUGCAUUUGGGGCCGCAGCUCGAUGUUGUGCUUGGCUUUCAUCCAUCAGCAGAGUGCUUUAGGAUCAUAUCUCUCUGCUCGCGCAUGCACAACCAUGAGGACGACUGUAGCACACUUCGAUUUGUUCAUCUGUUUCAGUAUAUCCAUGCAUCAUGUUCAUCAUACUGUUUGGAAGUUGUUACAGAUCCUAAAGUAGUUUGUGUUUCAAUUUGACCAAGAACACAGACUAGCACAACUUAUGUGUUUUAGAAACUAAUGUAUAAUCUCAACCUCCCACCACCAUCACAUCACGGCACGGUUUGUCUUUUUCAUAUGGCGGGAAUAUACAAUUCGCAUGCAUGUCCUCGUAGAGAGCCAUGCGUCGAACCUGAAAAACUACACAUUCAGACUGAUUUUCAAAAUAGUUGGUACCACGAAAAUGGAUCGGACAGAAUACAUCGUUGAUUUCUUCUCGCCAUGUAGAUAUAUAUACAAACGACUAGCUUGCCUAUCAAAGCAGCGGUAGCAAUUUGCUCGCAUGCAUGCUGCCAGUUUUUUGCAAGACUAGAAGCAAAAUGGAACUGAAACGAUGAAGACAAACAGAGAGAGACUCGAGUGGCGGCCCACCAAGUAAUCUCCACCAAACCACAGGCUCAUUCAUAUUCAAAAUUGCAAAAUUUCAUAUGGCCACCAUGGCUUUUUUUUUUUUGUGAAAAUUGGAGCACUCCAAAGUAUGAAACGAGGUAUGUAGCAGAAUGAACGUAUGAGGAGAUGCAUUCUGCUACCCCGUUUCUGCAGAUCAUUAAGGACAGACCGAACGUAGUUCCAUGAACAUAGUAGUAAAGGUACUAAAGCAUUCUUUUGGGUUCUGGUACAAAUGAUGGCAAGAAGUUACUUCAGAAAUAACAAGAAUGAUUGAAAAAAGGUUUUUUUUGAAAAGAAUAUUAGUUUAAUUACACAAAAUCAGAAUGAAAGAUCACAAAAAGUUUGGAGCGGCAGUAUUGGUUAUCUAUAUUCUUGGUCCCUCUGGUUUAGUGUUAGAAAUUCAAGAACACAUGUUUCCUACUCAAAACAAAAUAGCCGGACAGCGUUGGCCAAUUGAAGUUUUUGUCCAGCCAGACCUGCUGAUGAAUGCGCUUUUGCCAUGUGCUGCACCGUGGCUCCUUAACCUGACAGAAGAUUAGUCCUCUCCGCACAACACACUUGUGCCCUAAAUUUAUGCACCACCUGCCUCGUGCGAUCGAGCUUCUCCAAUCUGUCUUAACUACAGAUCAUCUCAUGCCGCUCCAUUUAGUAACUCCCCCACCUAUUUGAAUGUCAUGCGAAGUCAUAUUGCAAAGGGAUUUGCUGCUUGCAAAGAUACAAUGAUCUGAAAUUUUGUAGACGAACAUCUUACAGAAGAGAUGCCUGAGCAAUCUUCUUAACANNNNNNNNNNNNNNNNNNNNNNNNNNNNNNNNNNNNNNNNNNNNNNNNNNNNNNNNNNNNNNNNNNNNNNNNNNNNNNNNNNNNNNNNNNNNNNNNNNNNCCCCCCCCCCCCCCCCCUGCAUCAUCAUACGUGCUAGCUUUUCUGUGCUGUCGGCCUGUCGCCGUCAGAUUAUUUCUACCUGUGGCUCCACAUGAUGAAGCCUCUUGGCACUCGUCGAUCGUCAUGAACAUAUGAGCUGUUAUUUGGAAUGCGAGACAUGGGGAAAACAUACAUGACAAAUCUAGAAGAGUGCAGGACGAUGCAGCCGAUGUCGACAAGAUAGAGAACUCAGGGACGUUAAACUCUACCCAUCAGUUGUGACCGAGCCUUUUUUGCUAGAACUUUUGAGUUCAGCCUUGUUGCUAAGUUUCUGCUUGGACUAGAUACUCGACAAGCUUACUCGAGCCUUGAAUUCCACACUGGUUUUUACAAUAUGUGUAACUCUGCCGAUCAAUGAAUCAAUCCAUUCAUUCUCAUUCUAAUUGCCUCUCGUUUUUACAAUUUCACACGUUAUCAGCAUGCACAUUCGAGUUCUCAGGAUGCAUCCACUCGGUACAAUGCCGAGCAAUUCACCUUGUUUUUUUUGCCACCAACGGACUCGCAUUCCUCGUUCGCUGCUCCGUGCAUCGAUCGGUAUGUCGUCACUGCGCUACAGUUGGCCACCACACCUGCACUGAACUUGCUGGCCGAGCCCUCUGUGCCUCCCACUGGAGAGCCCCUGUCCCUGCUUCCUAGUUCUAGCGAUGAGGACCGACUAGGAAGAAAGAUACAUUAACCGAAUGGGGCCAAAUGAAGUUAUCUUUCUGUUAAAAAAGGUUAUCUUUCCUUGCUGCAUAUUAAGAAUUUAAGAUCCAAACUGCAUAGUAAUAGUAGCCUGAUACAAAGACGUUGAAGCUGGAACUUUUUUCCAAUAAAAUUAAGAAAAAUUAGAUCCAAAAUGUUUCACCAGAAGCAGAAACCCAAACUAUCCCAGUAUCCCUAGCAGUAGCAACAACAGACAAACCUAUGAGAGGAGCGCUUCAGUCAAUUAGUAUAGAGGAAGUGCCACCUUGAUUUGUCUUAUCAUAUCUAUGCGAUUUCAGUUCACAUGGCAUGUACCAAUGAUGGCUAGGGUUAGGGUCACUCAUUUGUGUCCAUUUCUCCUUCAAUAGCUUGUGUCUUUACAGCUAUAUGCCCUCAAUUCUCGUCAACGAGUAAUGUCCGUGUUGUGUCUUGUCAAACUGUUUAAAUUUUGACUAUCGAUUACUUUUUCAUGUAUGUUGACUUUGCACAUUCAAAUGGUAUGGCCAAAAUUUGUCUUAGAAAGUAGGCUUGAGUUGAGUCUGCUACGCGUUUAUUAAUAUGCCUUGUCCUCUUUUCUUCUUAUGCAUUGAGCCCUGCUAGUGGCCCAUUUAUUUAGCUGCGUGUAGUGUGAGUGCCUAGCUUGCUUGCCCCUUCCAUCGGAUUUAUCAUAUAUCAUUUCCCCUUCCAAUAUAUCAGUCAAGAGAAGCACGUCUAGCUAAAAGGAUUAGUAAGUGGUACCUGUUAUGCGUAGCCAUAGUAAUUUAUAUAUGUGCAUAUCAAAAUCUAUUUAUUUAGAAAAACUAAAAUGAAUAGAAAUUUGAGACGGGGGAGUAUCAUAUCACAUUUGUCCUGGGAACGAGUGGCAUCUGGAAGAGAACUCUGAUGUCCGAUCCAGACCAGCGUCUGAGGCGUAUCUGGUGCUUGUCAAUCCUUUCAAUUUGGGAGGAAAAGGAUUCUCUACGGCAGUUUUUUGUUUUUGCAACCACUCUAAUAUUAGAAAUACAUGCAAGGGCGUGUUUCCUUCUUUGUGUACUAGCUGGUCGCUCAAAAUAGAACUGCCAGAGAUCAAGUGUCCAAAUUUCAUCUAUACUCUAUCCACAGAGGUACAAGCCGGCCGGACUGUACCUGGUUGAAGUUCAACGGACAAAUCUCCAUAGAUACCCAGAUGCAGCCACCGAGCCACAAGCCGUAUCCGGAAUCUCUCGCAAUUUUGCUGUUUAGUGGAGUAAAAGCGUUGCUAAGGCUAGAGACGACUGUUACCGUUCACUUCUGUAUGGACUGGCUUUUUUGGUGCCCCUCAGUUGAGUCCGUGUCUGAGUUGAUUCAAGCCUUUGCAUCUUCAGCAUGUCUUACUUCACUCGUUGUUUUAACCGUGUGCAGGGCACAUAGAACAGAAAACAAAUUUAUUUUUUUGGUUCACAAUAAUAUUAUUGAGUAGCAGUGGCCCACACAGUAGAUAUGCACGCCCUUCGUGAUCAGACUUUGCAUACACAAAUGCAAGCUGCUACAAAUAACUUCGUGAAACGAUCUACAAAUCACCUCCAAAAAUCAUGAAACUUUUUGUAGUGAUACAAAAAAUGAAUAUGAACCCAUAUUUAUUAAAAAGAACUCAUAUACAUUUACGGUUUUAAAAUUAAAAUUCACCAACUUAGGCUAUCUUUAUAAGUUCUCUGAACACUUUUAAAAAUUAUAAGAAAAUAACUAAUAUUUCUCACAUCGGAUGCUGGAACUUAUUAAAUUAUUUCCUAACAAAACUUACAUAGAGAAUUAUGAAAAACCGUAAAUUUGGGAAAAUUUUAAAAAAAACUUGUAAUUCUUUAUGUAACUUAUGAUAGAAAAUAAUUUUAUAAGUGUCUGCAUCUCAUGUAAGGAAUAUUAGUUGUUUUUUCAUAAUUUUUGGAAAGUGUUUUGGCACCCUAAAAAUUCAAAUAUGCUUCAAAAAUAGUCAGAUUCAGUGAAUUUUAAUUUGAAAAUAGCAAAGGUACAUGUAAGUGUUUAAGCAAAAUGGACUCAUCUUCAUUUUUUCCAUUAUCAAAAAAAUCACAAAUUUUGGAGGUGAUUAGAUGGUUGUUUUGUUCAACUUAUGUGACAAAAGUGAUGAAAAUAUCAAAUAAGGAAUAAAAGAUAGAACUCAGUGUCAUAUAAGGGAUGAAAAAAAAUUUAGUGUCAAGAAAGAAAUAUAGUCAUUUUCUAAUGUCAAAUAAGGAAUUUUCUUGUAACUUUGCCAUGUUCCUCCCUUUAAUCUGAGAAGAAGAGGACGACAUGUUAACUGCCAGUACAUAUAUAGUUUGGACUUGUACCCUUCAACUCCCACAUCUUGGGCUCUCGCACUCGCUUGUGCAUUGCUUUACAUCCCUGUUCCUUUACACCAAUCCCUCAUUACUAGAACACAAUGAGUUCCAAUUUGCCCAUGCAUCCUCAAUUCCUCAUAUCUAAUUGGAGUGAGCGACACCGGGAGAACAUAUUCCACAGAUUUGGCAGGAUUGAUAGUUCAUCGUGAUCGUAGGUGCUCGGCUUGGCAAUAUUUAACGAGACUAAUUUUGCACAGAAGAUGAGUUCUGUGACAUACGAGUCCAAUCUCCUUCAUUCCUUCUCUCUCUGUUUUCCUAUCAUCAAUAUCUUGUGUAAUAAGCAUAUACUCAUGUGAAGGGGAGCACGUACGUAUAUGGCUGCAAGGAUAUAUAAGUUGAAGUCCAUGCAUAGUUCCAUAUUCUUUAGCUAGUAACUCCAGCAGACAGCAGGCCUUGGUCACAUUUUGUGCUUGGAAACUUGGAAAUGAGCGGCAUCAGGGAGAGGAGAGCCACCUAAUUUCCGAUCCGCUUACCAACGGACCAACGCUUACGAGAUGCUCGUCAAGGUCAGCAGGAGUCCUCACCCUCGUCUAGUUCUCUUCACGAUGCGGAUUCGGCACGAGAGGUACCGAGCAGAUGGGCAUCUAUUCAACAAGAUGGCUUCCAACUCCGCUUCUGCAGAUUAUCUAGAUAGGAUAGGUCAUAGUUCUAAUGAACACAUACAGCAGUGGGUUUCCCUUUUUGUCUAAUGAUCAUAGUUUGAGUUGAGCUACAGCUGGAAUGGUUCGCCUUCUUCCUUCGAGUUAGAGUAGCGCUUUCUCUUCUUUUUUUAUGCAUGAAAAUGGUGGCAAUUAAUGCAAGAAGAUACUUAAGAAAUAACAUGAAUGGUUUCAAAAAGAAAACGUUGAUUAAAAACUAAUUAGGUUACACAGAAAAGCAGAAUGAAACAUCCCAAAGAUUUUGGAACGGUAGUAUUCAUACUCUUAAUUAAUUACUCUCUGCCAUGUGCUGCACCUUGACUCCAUGCAUAAAUCUGACAGAAGAUUAAUAGUCCUCUCUGCGCACCAUUACACUUGUAUCUGCCCUAUUUAUGCACCGAGCUCUUUUAUGGUACAAUAUAUACUAAUAUUUGAAAAGGACUAGUAUGAAAAGAUCCGACAAUUGAGAUUAAUUGUAUACUACUAAAACCUUCAGCUAUAGUAUAGGUAGUAUGUAUGAGUAGUAUAUGUGGUAUAGGGGUAUGAUGGGAAAGAUGUGAAGUGGCAUUAUAAUUUGUAGACGGCCUCGUGUACUGGCAGCGGCGGCGGCGAUGCUGCCACGACCAGCUGCGGGAUGGCAGCAGGCUGCCCUCACGCGAGGAUUGGCCACCGGCCGGGAGGGCGGCAAGCGGCGCGUGCUCAGAUCGGUGCGGCCAGAUUGCAGGACGGCGUUGCGCGGCCCUCACGCGUGUUGUGGCCACCAGUUGCUUCUUGGACCCAGAACAUUUCUCUCGUGUUCUAAGAGCAUGGCUAAAAUGACUAAUUUUUCAGAAAUUUACUGACUGCAAUGUUAUGUAACUAUACCUAAUAGUCUAUGUUUAUAUCUUGUAUUGGAUUUCUCGCCAAAACCUCUUAAAUGUGUUUUCUUUACUGACUGCAUCUAAGUUUGUUCUAGGCAAGUCGUUAUCACGUUAUGUAUGUACAUUCUAUUGUUACAUGAUGCAUAAUAACGGAUGUGCAAAUGUGUUUGUUGGGUGGUGUGUUGUAUACAUCAUAUUGUGCGAGAAACCUUGUCCUAGGAUUCACUUGCAAAAUGUUUAUGUAUACUAUCAGUGCAGCGUGCUUUCAAGUAAUAUGAUUUUUCUUUGUUGAAAAGUGUUAUACAAAAAAUCUAACUAUACUGUAUUAGAUUCCAAUUCUCAAAAUUAAGAAACACACCAAGAGAAGUACACAGGACAAAGAAAGAAAGCUAGAUCCGACGGAUGAGAACCCGGAUCCGGCCACGGCCAGCCAAGAUUGAUGUGCCAUCACCGUCCCUAAGGUUGGGGACCGCCGCCGCCGCCCCGUGCAUGCAGGCAAAGCAGAACGACAAGAAGCAAAGGAGAAUGCCUCGCCACCACCUUCCUCAUCGUUGCACGAGCUUCCGGCGGUCGGCUCUGGCGGCGGCAUGGCAGGGGAGAGAGUGGCGUGGGGUCUCUAGUGGCGGUGCUAGGGUUCUGCCCGUGUCGCCGAGAGGGGCAACGCGGGGAUAUAGAGGCUGAAUGUGGAUAUGUCUAAAUGUGGAUAUAGAGGUCGGAUGUUUAUCCAUUAUUAGAAAAACUAUAUUGUCUUAUAAAGAAUUGUAGAACAACCUAACUGAGCACUAAAAUUUGCCAAUACCACUUUGCAGUCCACUUCACUAGCAACAGACAUCUUGUCGUUUAAAGAUUUUGCAAAAGAACAUCACUGCAGCAAAAAAACACAGAAUUCUCAGAAGCUGCACUUUGAAUAUUAUGCAUCGAGUCCGAUCCAAACAGACUUUGCACACAACCUGAAGGAUCGGACAGGCGACAAGAGAGAGGUGAAUAUGAACCUUUAAAAAUUCUCUUCGAGAACAAGGUCUAUAUCCUGAUUGCUACCCAAACACACCUCACUUCUAAUCGUCAAGAUAACACAAGUCAACUCGUGACAAGCUCACCCUAGGAACGAUUAGAAACGCUCAAAGCAUAGCGUAAGCAAACGCAAAAUGAGACUCUGAAAAGCUUGCACAAGAGGUUAAGCAAAGCCAUCACAAGCCAAGAGACCUGCACAUCACAAGCCAAAAGACACAACACACAAGAUAUAUUUUACACACACCACAACACAACUCACACAACACCACACCUCCGGUUAGUUGUUAGCAUGAUCAUGCACAUAUGAAAUAUGGACUCAACCAAAAAAGCCUCAAAUCAUCCCGUCAAUCACUCAUCACAAAUAGACCAAGGCACAUCUUAACUUGGUUUCUCACAAACAUUUAGGAUAUCCAGGCUCACUCACAAGUGCUCCGGUCAAUAUAAAAGCCUACUGACCAUUCAGAAACCAUGGAACUGAGCAAGUCUAGCUAUAUCAUAUAAUUCAAAAGUUUAAAGCACCACAUAACUGGUGCCCUCAACAUUGCGUUUUGCAAUCAAAACCAAUACUUUCUUUUCCCAGGGCCCUCUCACUGCACAUGGGCCUGCAUGAAGCCAUCUUUUAUAUGUGCCGCGACAUCCUUGACUGCUCCAGGACAAUGUUCAUGAUAUCCUUGGCAGUGGUGCGAGGGACGUUCUCCAAUAAGGCAAGAAUGCUGUCCCUCAACGGCUAUGUACACUUUUCAAAGGUGUAGAGGCUGGAACCUUGUUUCCAUUAUCUAAAAAGAAGAAUGCUGUCCCUCAGCCCGCCCACGAUGGCCUGACACUGCCUUAGCCUCUCCUUCGGCUUUCUUGAUCUGGAUUAUCUUCUCGGCCUCAGCUUUCUCACUGGAUGGCAACCCCAUCCUAGCAGUUGUACCAUACAACUGGAAGGGUAACAUGUAAGAUUAAUCGAUAAAAAUCAUAGAUGCAUGUGCCCAAGCAAAUGUUGUGUUGCCAAUUUAAUCUGAUGCUUAUGCGAAUGGUAAAGCACUUGCGUGCGUUGAUCUCGUUCAUUGCUCUCUUGACACGGUCAUCAGGCUUAGUAUCAACGAUCUCAAAGCCAUAUGUAGACAUUGCCUACACCACAAACAAGCCAGACCAGUUAAAAGAUUCUACAUGCUCUAAAGCAAAUUCAACACAAGUAGUUAAAAACAAAUGUGUGACAGAAACCUUUUCAAGCUCCUCUUCAACAACUUUUGCAAUGUCAUUCUUCUACUCAAAUGCGUCAUCCAAGUCCAGAAUUGGAACAGUAGUUCUAAUGACUGAAAUAAGCACUGAAGUGCUAAUAAGAAUUGCUAAUAAGUUCAUUCGAAUUGUGAUUUGUGCGGUAUAGAAAGUUAGAAACACAACUCUCGCCUCUCCUUGAGUCCUUGUACUGAUAAAAGAAACUAAGUAAUGAUGUUAACAGAAAGUACAAUUUAUCUCAGUAGAUUAACAAAUAGAAAAAAAUAGUCCAAUGAUACAGAGUCUGCAAGUACUUGAGAAGACCAAAUACCAAGCUGAGGUGAUAGGACAAGUACGAGCACAACUGUACAAAGACAGAAUGCAAACAUGGACUCAAUUGAGCAUAGUUAAGUAAAAUUUCAAACAGAAGGAACACUUACCAUCACAUACAUAUGACUGAAUUUGUUCCCUGGCGUUGCUCAGCUUGUAGAAGGCAUCAGAUGCUGUAUAGCAAAGCGCACGGGAAGCAGCCGGAAAGGGCGCGACGGGGACGACGCGAUGCCCUCCGUUCUUGGGGCGCCGGCAGCACGUGGAGGACGCCCGUUGGGGUGGCGGCUGGACAGGGGCGUUCGUAGCGCCGCGCUGCCGCCCGCGACUCUGACGGCGGCACGGGAAGCUGGCGCCCUUGGACGGCGGCACGUGGAGGAGGACGCGCCCUGGGGUGGCGGCCGGGCAGGGGAUGCGCGGGGAUGCCCUGGGGUGGCGGCGGGAGGGCCGGAGGAGACCUAGGGAGUGGCAGCCGGCCACGGCCACAACGGGGAGGAGGCGGCGGAGGCGACGGCGCGAUAUCAAUUAAUAUAACUUAUGUUAAUUACACAAUUACCCAUACCAAAAAAUGGUUUAUACUCCAUACUACCACCUAUAGCUCACGCACCACCUGCCUCUGCGAACGAGCUCCUCCAACCUGUCUUAACUCUUAACUACUGUUCAUCUCAUGCCGCUAUAUAUUGCUGAGAAAUGCUACUGCUGAAAGCUUCAGUGGUGCCAUUUCUUUGGAGAGUGCAUCUAGAGAUAGAUUGAUGGUUACUCUGGUGUCUGGUCAAUCACAUCCACUCCAGGUAGUUUUUUUUUCCUCUCUCUCUGCGAAGACGAUUAUAUUCAUCCCAGAAUGUAUGAGCUACUUUGGAGUGGGAGACAUAGGGAAACCAGGCAUGACUGUUCCCAGAGGAUUGCAGGACAGGGUGGUUCAGAUGGUCAAGUGGAAAGGUCAUUGACAGUUAAACUUCACUCAUCAAUUGUGAUCCAUCCUCUUCGCCUAGAACUUUGUAAUUCUCGGCUUCAUUGCUACUGUUGAACGAAAUGCUUAUUAAGACGAUGAUAAACAUACCAUUAGUCUCUGAAAAGAAGGGUACGAGUCAAACAGUCAUCCCCGGCCGGUAGCGUUGCAAGAAAAGCUCAAGACUCGCCUGCAUUUUUCGAACUCGCUACUCGACAGGAUAGAGAGCCUUCAAUUCAUCUGGCCUGGGUGCUUCUCAUCCAUUUCCUGUCAUAAGCACAUACUCAUGCAAAGGGGAGCGCGUGCUUGGAAAUGAGCGGCAGCAGGAAGAGGCACCCUAAUGUCUGAUCAGCUUACACCAACCAACCAACGCCUACGAGAUGAUCGUCAAGGUCAGCCGGAGACCUCGCGCUAAUGCUAGUCCUCAUCAGGCAGCGGAUUCGGCCAGCGCACUUCAGAAAUCAGGGAGCAGAUGAACAUUUGUUUAACAGAAUGGCUCAGAUCCAUGAGGAGACACAUUCUGCUACUUCGCUCCUGCAGAUCAUCUAGCUAGGAGACUGAAAGGUUUUGCAGCACUUUCCUUUUUUUUUGUUAUGCAUGCAAAUGACGAAAAUAAAAUUACUCGUAGAAAUAACAAGAAUCUUCCGGAAAAGUACUUUUCAGAAGAAAAAAAAAGAAAUGGUUUACACAGACGACAUCGCAGAAGUUAGGAACGGCAGUGUGUUUAUCUACAUUGUUCUUAAUUACUCUGGUUUCGCAUUAGAAACACGACACCAUGCAUGUUUCCUACACAACACAAAACAGCCACACCGCACAAGGCGUUGUUGGCCAGCCAGACCUGCUGAUGAAGAAUGAGCUUUUACAAUGUGCAGGUUGACUCUCCUCCGUAAUUAACCUGACAGAAGAUUAGUCCUCUGCGCACCACCUGCCUCGUGUCUUUCAGUACGCAGGCUGUCCAAUUAGUUUUCCAACCCCGUCGUAGCACCCACAAAAUCUGCCGGGCCGUGGGCCCGUGCGCACGCCGCCACGCCGGAUUUCCCCCGAGGCGCAUAAGGAAGGAGACAUAAUAAUAUACGCGGAUUUUGAAAAGCCAUAUGAACUCAAGCAUGGAACAACUCUUGGAAUGAGCAGCAUCGUGAGCCGGGACAACACGAGUAACUGCCGCCUGCUGCAAAUGUAGCCAUUGGCACAUAUGAUGCUCUGCAGCGAUGGUAAUCGCCAUCAUCCUUUUAUCUUUUUUUUUUUUGCAUGACUAGUACCAAAGGUUUUCUAGCUUUUAUUGUUAUGCAUGAUGACAAAAAUUACUUAAAAAUAUCAAGGAUAGUUCCAAAAUGAAUUUUUUAAAAAUAAUUAGUUUAGACAGAGGCGGAAUGAAACAUCGCAAAGAAAAAUAGUACAGCAGCAUUUUUUUAUCUAUAUUAAUUCUUAGUUACUCUGGUUUAGCUUUAGAAAUACAACCACAUGUUUGCUACCCAAAAUCUGCUGAUAGAGGAGCUUUUGCCAUGUGCUACACCAGCACCACUACACUUGUGCCCUGUUUAUGCACCCCUCGUGCGAGCUCCUCCAACGUGUCUUAACUACUCUUCAUCUCGUGCCGCUAUGUAUUAUGAGGCAUGCCAUUGCCGAAAGCUUCCAUGGUGUCAUUUCGGUGGGAGAGUGCAUUGAGAUGUAGACUGACAGUUACUCUGGUUAAUCACAUCCACUCCAUGCCGUACUCCUAUAUUUUUCCCUCUGCCAUCAUCAGCCGGCUUCUUCUUCGUUGCUGUCGCCGCCGGGUAAUUGUACCCCGUUUCUCCACAUGAUGAAGACAUACGUAUGAGCUGCUUUGGAGUGCGAGACAUACGGAAACCAGACAUGACAAUUCCAGAAGGCACGACAAGUUGGAAGGUUAUUGACAGUUAAACUUUGCUCAUCGAUUGUGAUAGAGCCUUUUCUGCUAGAACUUUGUAUAACUUGCUACUACUGGAUAUGUGGACAACACGGCAAGCUCGAUCCUUCAUCAAUUCCAAUUUGCCGUGCGUAUGUGCAAGCCCAAACUCUCCGCGGCAAGAACACGGCCCAUCCCCGAAAUCAGCCCCCUGAAGUCUGAACUUUGUAAUUCAGCUUUUUGCCUGUUAUUCACUUCACUGGCAAAUUUAAGAUGAUGAAACACCGUUCUCGGUCAGUUUAAGAAAUAGCAGAGUCGGGAGAUGUGUAGUACUUGGAAGAAACAUACACUGACGGAGUGGGGGCAAAUGAAGUUAUCUUUCUGUUCAAAAAAUAAAAGCUCUCUUCCCUUGAUAAUUGCUUGCGAAGGUCCAAAAAAAAAGUUUUAUCCUCACGUAGAUUGACCUUCUUUAGGGUGUGUUUGGUUGCGUAGAUUAUUUGGUUCAUGUAUAAAAUAAAAAUGGUUCAAACUAGAUGGUAAUAGAAUCGGUCAAUAAUAACAAAACUUGUUUUUAUUCUAGGUUGUGUCUACUUUACAACGUGUUGACGGUUUAUGUGGCUUUUGCUACCUCUUUGUAAUAAUAAUAAUCGUACGCUGUACGCUGAUCCAUAUUCUGAACAAGAUCGUUGAAGCUGGAACCUUUUUGCUAUUUAUCCAAGAAAAUUAAUCCAAAAAGUUUCACGACAAACCCAAAAAGUAGCAACAUAUGGCAAGCACACGGCCCAACCCACCCGGAAAUCAAUCCCUGCCGCAGCAGCCUCACCGCAGCCACAAGCCCGGAAGCCGGCGACCCCACAAAAUCUGUGCGCCCGCGCCGACGCGGCCACGGCGGAUGCCUCGGCGCCAAUCCCCGGCGCCCACCUCACUCCCCCUUAUCCCCGUCUCACCCACUCGCGCCGCGCCCCUUAUCCCAAGCUCGUUUCUUUCUGAUCCCAAAUCCCAGCUCGCGCCGCCCGAUCCCAGAGGUCGUCGUCUCUUUCUCCUCAGCUCCACCCACGCCAAGCGCGCGCGCCGGACGCAUCCGCACCAGCAGCAGAGCAGAGAUGGCCGCCCUCGCCGCCUCCUCCACGGCCGCCUUCGCCGCCAAGCCGCGCCUGCCCCGCGCGCGCCUCUCCGUGGCCUGCUCCGCCACCGGCGGCGACGGCAGCAACGGCAGCAGCGUCUCGCUCGCCUCCUCCGUCAAGACCUUCUCCGCCGCGCUGGCGCUGUCCUCCGUCCUCCUCUCCUCCGCCGCUACCUCCCCUCCGCCGGCCGCCGCCGACAUCGCCGGCCUCACCCCGUGCAAGGAGUCCAAGGCGUUCGCCAAGCGCGAGAAGAACUCGAUCAAGAAGCUCACCACCUCGCUCAAUAAGUACGCCCCCGACAGCGCCCCCGCCCUCGCCAUCAACGCCACCAUCGAGAAGACCAAGCGCCGCUUCGAGAACUACGGCAAGUUCGGCCUGCUCUGCGGCGCCGACGGCCUGCCGCACCUCAUCGUCAGUGGCGACCAGCGGCACUGGGGCGAGUUCAUCACCCCGGGCCUGCUCUUCCUCUACAUCGCCGGGUGGAUCGGGUGGGUCGGCAGGAGCUACCUCAUCGCCAUCAGCGGCGAGAAGAAGCCCGCCAUGAGGGAGAUCAUCAUCGACGUCGAGCUCGCGUCGCGGCUCCUCCCCAGGGGGUUCAUCUGGCCCGUUGCAGCCUACCGCGAGCUCAUCAACGGAGACCUCGUCGUCGACGACAAGGACAUCGGCUACUACUAAGCGCGCCUGCAUGG
This 38001-nucleotide long non-coding RNA is filed under the name Setaria italica (foxtail millet). RNAcentral describes it as "long non-coding RNA (SITA_LNC006441)". The stretch from base 6921 to 7053 matches the Rfam family "U4 spliceosomal RNA". The record is from RNAcentral. Lineage: Eukaryota; Viridiplantae; Streptophyta; Magnoliopsida; Poales; Poaceae.